GUGAACGCUGGCGGUAGGCCUAACACAUGCAAGUCGAACGGCAGCACAGUAAGAGCUUGCUCUUACGGGUGGCGAGUGGCGGACGGGUGAGGAAUACAUCGGAAUCUACUUUUUCGUGGGGGAUAACGUAGGGAAACUUACGCUAAUACCGCAUACGACCUACGGGUGAAAGCAGGGGAUCUUCGGACCUUGCGCGAUUGAAUGAGCCGAUGUCGGAUUAGCUAGUUGGCGGGGUAAAGGCCCACCAAGGCGACGAUCCGUAGCUGGUCUGAGAGGAUGAUCAGCCAUACUGGAACUGAGACACGGUCCAGACUCCUACGGGAGGCAGCAGUGGGGAAUAUUGGACAAUGGGCGCAAGCCUGAUCCAGCCAUACCGCGUGGGUGAAGAAGGCCUUCGGGUUGUAAGCCCUUUUGUUGGGAAAGAAAAGCAGCAGGUUAAUACCCCGCUGUUCUGACGGUACCCAAAGAAUAAGCACCGGCUAACUUCGUG
This 490-nucleotide ribosomal RNA is filed under the name uncultured bacterium. RNAcentral's name for it is "partial 16S ribosomal RNA". It matches the Rfam family "Bacterial small subunit ribosomal RNA", at positions 29 to 507 of the family's 1533-position model. The record is from RNAcentral.